This 468-nucleotide ribosomal RNA is filed under the name uncultured bacterium. RNAcentral describes it as "partial 16S ribosomal RNA". It matches the Rfam family "Bacterial small subunit ribosomal RNA", at positions 28 to 507 of the family's 1533-position model. The record is from RNAcentral.
GACGAACGCUGGCGGCGUGCUUAACACAUGCAAGUCGAACGGAAAGGCCCUGCUUUUGUGGGGUGCUCGAGUGGCGAACGGGUGAGUAACACGCGAGUAACCUGCCCUUGACUUUGGGAUAACUUCAGGAAACUGGGGCUAAUACCGGAUAGGAGCUCCUGCUGCAUGGUGGGGGUUGGAAAGUUUCGGCGGUUGUGGAUGGUCUCGCGGCUUAUCAGCUUGUUGGGGGGGUAGUGGCUUACCAAGGCUUUGAAGGGUAGCCGGCCUGGGAGGGUGGCCGGCCACAUUGGGACUGAGAUACGGCCCAGACGCCUACGGGAGGCAGCAGUGGGGAAUAUUGCACAAUGGGCGGAAGCCUGAUGCAGCAACGCCGCGUGCGGGAUGACGGCCUUCGGGUUGUAAACCGCUUUCGCCUGUGACGAAGCGUGAGUGACGGUAAUGGGUAAAGAAGCACCGGCUAACUACGUG